This 750-nucleotide ribosomal RNA is filed under the name uncultured bacterium. RNAcentral's name for it is "bacterial SSU rRNA". It matches the Rfam family "Bacterial small subunit ribosomal RNA", at positions 43 to 769 of the family's 1533-position model. The record is from RNAcentral.
AAGGAAAACCUACAAUGCAGUCGAGGGAGAUCAGGGGAGCGAAGCUUGCUUUGCUCCGCCGGCGACCGGCGCACGGGUGACCUUUUCGUAUGCAACCUGCCCGUUUCAGCGGGAUAACCCGGACCAUUCCGGCCUAAUACCGCAUGUGGCCGAGGGGAGGCAUCUUCUUUCGGCCAAAGGAGGCGACUCCGGAGACGGAUGGGCAUGCGUGACAUUAGCUUGUUGGCGGGGUAACGGCCCACCAAGGCGACGAUGUCUAGGGGUUCUGAGAGGAAGGUCCCCCACACUGGUACUGAGACACGGACCAGACUCCUACGGGAGGCAUCAGUGAGGAGUAUUGGUCAAUGGGCGAGAGCCUGAACCUGCCAAGUCGCGUGAAUGAUGACGGCCCUACGGGUUGUAAACUUCUUUUGUCAGGGAGCAAUUGGGUCCACGUGUGGCAUAGCGAGAGUACCUGAAGAAACAGCAUCGGCUAACUCCGUGCCCGCAGCCGCGGUAAUACUGAUGAUGCGAUCGUUAUCCGGAUUUAUUGGGUUUAGCGGGUCGCGCACGCGGAAUAUUAAGUCCACGACAAAAAUUCUGGGCUCAACCCUUGUCUUGCCACUGACCAAGAAGUUCUAGAAUGAGCAAAAACUACCCGUAAUGCUUGGUGUAACGGUGAACAUGCAUAAAUAUUACAUAUAAAACACCAAUCGCGUAGGCAUAUUUAUCGGGCUCCACGUUCUCAGACGCAAACAUAGUUGAGAUUCC